Molecule: ribosomal RNA, 440 nt
Filed under: uncultured bacterium
Lineage: Bacteria
Description: partial 16S ribosomal RNA
Rfam family: Bacterial small subunit ribosomal RNA
Source: RNAcentral
CCUACGGGAGGCUGCAGUGGGGAAUAUUGCACAAUGGGGGGAACCCUGAUGCAGCAACGCCGCGUGGGUGAAGAAGUACUCCGGUAUGUAAAGCCCUGUCAGCAGGGAAGAAAAUGACGGUACCUGACCAAGAAGCCCCGGCUAACUACGUGCCAGCAGCCGCGGUAAUACGUAGGGGGCAAGCGUUAUCCGGAUUUACUGGGUGUAAAGGGAGCGUAGACGGCAAGGCAAGUCUGGAGUGAAAGCCCGUGGCCCAACCACGGGACUGCUUUGGAAACUGUGUUGCUGGAGUGCAGGAGGGGUAAGCGGAAUUCCUAGUGUAGCGGUGAAAUGCGUAGAUAUUAGGAGGAACACUCGUGGCGAAGGCGGGUUCCUGGACAUUAACUGACGCUGAGGCACGAAGGCCAGGGGAGCGAAAGGGAUUAGAUACCCGUGUAGUC